This 231-nucleotide non-coding RNA is filed under the name Ceratodon purpureus. Lineage: Eukaryota; Viridiplantae; Streptophyta; Bryopsida; Pseudoditrichales; Ditrichaceae. The record is from RNAcentral.
GGCGGUAACCCUUCUGAGCUAAAUUGGGUAGGGGUUUAAGUGGAGGAGAGUCCUUGAAUAUGAGAAUCUUCUUCGUGUCUAGUGUGGAAUGGCUAAGGUGUGAUGAGUGCUUUAGCAAGCAUCUCUCAUUGGCCCCACCAUCUACACCUGAGACAGGACCCAUCUGCCAUGGUACAAGGGCUUUGCACCUCCGUGUGAGCCCUUGUUGUUUUGUCUAUCACUCCUGAGCUA